This is a small nucleolar RNA of Sapajus apella (tufted capuchin), 104 nucleotides long. RefSeq annotates it as small nucleolar RNA U13. The record is from RefSeq and is a predicted model, not a curated record. The transcript has a single exon. NCBI's taxonomy places the organism in Eukaryota, Metazoa, Chordata, Mammalia, Primates, Cebidae.
GUGCUUUCAUGGUUCUUAAGUAUGUUGAUUACGUUUUCAUGCUAUUAUGUGAGAUGUAUCUCGCUCAAACCUUGUUACAAUGUCAGCACAUUAUCCAUCUGAUG